Molecule: ribosomal RNA, 253 nt
Filed under: uncultured bacterium
Lineage: Bacteria
Description: partial 16S ribosomal RNA
Rfam family: Bacterial small subunit ribosomal RNA
Source: RNAcentral
UACGGAGGGGGCUAGCGUUGUCCGAAGUUACUGGGCGUAAAGCGUGCGCAGGCGGUUCUCCAAGUCCGGUGUGAAAGCCCCGGGCUCAACCUGGGAAUGGCAGUGGAAACUAGGGGACUUGAAUCUGGCAGAGGGGGGUGGAAUUCCACGUGUAGCAGUGAAAUGCGUAGAGAUGUGGAGGAACACCGAUGGCGAAGGCAGCCCCCUGGGCUGAGAUUGACGCUCAGGCACGAAAGCGUGGGGAGCAAACAGG